GGGCACACCAAGAGUGCAUGCUUAUGCAGUUUGAAAAGAAAACCCAUUGAAGAACAUUCAGAGGAAGUAAAAAUGAUGAAGCAUGUGCUGGCGGCAAUUGUCGGUCUUUGUUUCAGAGGCAGCUGUGGUCUUAGGAGAAAAAAGCACCAGAUGUGAAUCUAGACAGUCUCUUCCUGUGUCAAAUGGAGUUUUGAUGUCACCAUGGAGAUGCUGAUCCCACUGCUUUCCUGGUCCUCUCCUAUUGCUUGCCUGAGCCAUUCCUGAAGCCUCCACCCUCACUCCGUCCGUUCCAUCCCCCACAGCAGCCUUCAGAGGAAUCUUUUAAACAUAUGAGCCUCGUUAACUCCAGUUCUAUGGUUUCUUCACACUAUGAAUACUCAUGAGAUGAAGAACAGCAAAUGCUUAUGAGCAAAGACUCUGG
This is a long non-coding RNA of Balaenoptera musculus (blue whale), 421 nucleotides long. RefSeq lists it as uncharacterized. NCBI's taxonomy places the organism in Eukaryota, Metazoa, Chordata, Mammalia, Artiodactyla, Balaenopteridae. The transcript is spliced from 3 exons. The record is from RefSeq and is a predicted model, not a curated record.